Molecule: transfer RNA, 76 nt
Filed under: Clostridiales bacterium
Lineage: Bacteria; Bacillati; Bacillota; Clostridia; Eubacteriales
Also listed under: 1 other name
Description: tRNA-Ala
Rfam family: tRNA
About the family: Transfer RNA (tRNA) molecules are approximately 80 nucleotides in length. Their secondary structure includes four short double-helical elements and three loops (D, anti-codon, and T loops). Further hydrogen bonds mediate the characteristic L-shaped molecular structure. tRNAs have two regions of fundamental functional importance: the anti-codon, which is responsible for specific mRNA codon recognition, and the 3' end, to which the tRNAs corresponding amino acid is attached (by aminoacyl-tRNA synthetases). tRNAs cope with the degeneracy of the genetic code in two manners: having more than one tRNA (with a specific anti-codon) for a particular amino acid; and 'wobble' base-pairing, i.e. permitting non-standard base-pairing at the 3rd anti-codon position.
Source: RNAcentral
GGGGAAUUAGCGCAGCUGGGAGCGCGUUUGACUGGCAGUCAAGAGGUCACGGGUUCGAGCCCCGUAUUCUCCACCA